Molecule: RNA transcript, 575 nt
Organism: Arabidopsis thaliana (thale cress)
Lineage: Eukaryota; Viridiplantae; Streptophyta; Magnoliopsida; Brassicales; Brassicaceae
Exons: 1
Source: RefSeq
CUCUUCACAUAGCAUCUGUUGACUACUAUUUGAAGAUUCUUAUACAAGCUUAAAGACACUUACAUUUCUCUAUCUUAAACCCCAAGAAAACUUUAAGAAACAGAGAGAGACUUCUUACUAUUAUUUUUGACUUGAUUCUUGACAUUUUUGACUAACAAAAACUCAAUCAUCAUCAAUGGCAAAAGCUCUGUUCUUCAAUUUCUGCAUAUCUCUUCUUAUUAUUGCCAUACUUGUGAGCCAUGAAAUCAUACCAACAGAGGCAAGACACUUGAGGACCCAUAGAAAGUCAAUCAAGAACAGUACUCUUACUGUACACGAAGGAGCCGGUGGCUUGAGAACCGGUGGUGGCUCUGUGAAGACUGACAUUAGCAAAGAAGAACAUGGCGUUGAUGAGUUCCGGCCAACAACUCCGGGAAACAGCCCCGGCAUUGGCCAUUGAUCCAUUAGAACCUAAAUAAUUACAAUAUUUACAAACUUGUGCAUAGUGUACCAAGCUUAAUGUGUUUGUCUUUCUGAUAUUCUCUUCUCUUUUCGUUUCAUUUUUCUUUUUUUUUACAAUUAUUGGUUAAAGUGUA